AGAGGAAUAUUGGUCAAUGGGCGCAAGCCUGAACCAGCCAUCCCGCGUGCAGGAAGACGGCGCUAUGCGUUGUAAACUGCUUUUCCAGGGAGAGAAACUUGCGCACGUGUUGCGCAAUUGACGGUACCCUGGGAAUAAGCAUCGGCUAACUCCGUGCCAGCAGCCGCGGUAAUACGGAGGAUGCGAGCGUUAUCCGGAUUCAUUGGGUUUAAAGAGUGCGUAGGCGGACUAUUAAGUCAGUGGUGAAAUCCUGCAGCUUAACUGCAGAACCGCCAUUGAUACUGAUAGCCUUGAGUUUGGUUAAGGUAGGCGGAAUGUGUAAUGUAGCGGUGAAAUGCUUAGAUAUUACACAGAACACCAAUUGCGUAGGCAGCUUACUGAGCCGACACUGACGCUGAGGCACGAAAGCGUGGGGAUCGAACAG
Molecule: ribosomal RNA, 424 nt
Filed under: uncultured bacterium
Lineage: Bacteria
Description: bacterial SSU rRNA
Rfam family: Bacterial small subunit ribosomal RNA
Source: RNAcentral